Molecule: ribosomal RNA, 496 nt
Filed under: uncultured bacterium
Lineage: Bacteria
Description: partial 16S ribosomal RNA
Rfam family: Bacterial small subunit ribosomal RNA
Source: RNAcentral
AUGAACGCUGGCGGCGUGCCUAAUACAUGCAAGUCGAGCGAACGGACGAGAAGCUUGCUUCUCUGAUGUUAGCGGCGGACGGGUGAGUAACACGUGGAUAACCUACCUAUAAGACUGGGAUAACUUCGGGAAACCGGAGCUAAUACCGGAUAAUAUUUUGAACCGCAUGGUUCAAAAGUGAAAGACGGCCUUGCUGUCACUUAUAGAUGGAUCCGCGCUGCAUUAGCUAGUUGGUAAGGUAACGGCUUACCAAGGCAACGAUGCAUAGCCGACCUGAGAGGGUGAUCGGCCACACUGGAACUGAGACACGGUCCAGACUCCUACGGGAGGCAGCAGUAGGGAAUCUUCCGCAAUGGGCGAAAGCCUGACGGAGCAACGCCGCGUGAGUGAUGAAGGUCUUCGGAUCGUAAAACUCUGUUAUUAGGGUAGAACAUAUGUGUAAGUAACUGUGCACAUCUUGACGGUACCUAAUCAGAAAGCCACGGCUAACUACGUG